UUCAGUUUAUUUCCAGAAUUUUACUGUACAAAAUAUGCAAAGUGUAAAACUUUUUUUUUUUAUGUUUCAGUUUAAAAAAAAAAAAACCAACACAACCCCCAUCCAGCUAUAACUUAAGAGAACCCAGCUUGGAACAGAACAACUCUCUAGGCUAAGACCCACAGUGCAUUAAUGUCACAGACACCAGGAAUUUGCUUACUUAAGUUCACAAUUAGAAAAGGAACAUAAAAGACCAGGUACCAUUGCAGUUAAAGUCACAUGUGCAAAGAGGAAAAAAGAAAGAAAGAAAUGCUGGUUAGUGUCUAUUGAUUAGAAAACCUCGGCAAACCCCAUCUUACUAUACACAGUGUGUGUAGAAAAAGAGUAUUACACAGUGAUCAAAAAGAGGGCGAGGGAAGGACCGCCUUCCCCAAGACACAAUAAUGCUGAAUCCAAGAAACAGGCACAGAAGAGUGUAAGAUUCCUUCACAGUUACUGUCUGUGCAGGUAGCCACAGCACCCCCCCAGUGCAGGAGAUACCCCCAAGCAUCAUUGCGCUGGUGAGAGGUGCAGCCAGAGGGAAGGAUGCCCUCUCUGGGCAGGCAGAGCACACACAGGGCAGGGCUGGCUGCCCGCAGGGCUUCAGUACAUUGUGGGGAUUAAAAACAGAGUCUCUUGGAGGGAUGCAGAGGGAGGGUAACACCAGUUGUACCACUGGUGUAACGGGGGGGACCUGGCUCAGGAGUAUCCCAAAGCGGUCAUAGAGCAGCGGUUGGAAACGGCAACUUUUGGUCAUCAUCUGUCGGAGGAGGAGCCUGAACGCAGGAGGAUGUGUAUUCCCAUAGGAGACUUCACGGCCCAAAGUCAUCUCUUUUAGAAGACAGAAAUUCGGAGGGCUUUGGGGGAGUUUACUUUUGCUUGUAAAAAACCCCAAACAGUUCAAUACCAAGAGCUUCCUUCUUAACACAGUUGGAAUGCUGAACCACCGAGCCCGGCUUGAGGCUUUAGACAUGUAUAACGCACACACCUAUGAGGGAAAAGCACAGACAUACACAAACUGCAUGAGGAAACGGACACCUGAACACACAUCUCACGAACAGCUCUCAUAGGGGAGGGCAGAACUGAGCACAACCAAAGAGCAGAGCCUGGGACCAGACUGCAGCGUUUUUGCCAAAGACUUUUGUUUUCCUUUUGGAAAAGGGCAGAUUUACAAGUUUUGGUAAGCAAGAUGAUGGAACUGGCUUGAAUAGGAUUCCACAUUCAGCACAGGAUGGAUCUUUCCAGUUCUUCAACAGCAAGCACUGGAAACCAGCACAUCUCAAACAAGACUUUAAAAGCUACUUAUGCAGGGUAGGGCCGGCUUCAGAAUCAGCUCUCCCACAGGUUCUGGCAUAUUUGGCAAUAGCAGAUUCCCGAGGCUUUGCAUGGAGAUCCCCAUCCCAAAGGAAAAGGUUAAGAGGCUCCAUGAGGGGUGGGAUUUGUUCAGAUUUUCUCCAACCUUGUGCCUCAUUGUGAGCUGCUCCCAAACUGCAGCCCAAGCACCCCAUCCCAGUGGAUACUUGUUCUGCCUCACUAGGGAAUAUCAGGGAAAAAAACCUCACAGGGAGGCGAGGACGGGAGCUGCAAUGACUAAAGUUGCUGGCAGGAAAAGUUGUAGAGGCAGAAGUCAGAGGAAUAACUGGCAGAGGCUAAAAUCAGAUCUGCCUUUCUCUCCUAUAGCCCCCCUGCAAGUGUAAUAUCUACACUCUUAGAAGCUGGGAGGAAUCUGUCUCUUUCCUUCUUUAGCCAUGAAACAGAAAGCCAGGCUUCGUGGAAACCCACAGCCAUCUCCAUCUGUUCCAGAACAGUUCAAAUAGCUGCGUCUGGUUUUGGAAGAUCUCAGCACAGCUUUGGAUUUAGGCUGUUACAAAUCUGAGACCAAAAAAACCCCAAAGCCUUUAAAGUAUCCAAGGAGCAUACUUGAGAGUCACAUGGAAAACACCAACAUGGAAGAGAGGAAUGGGGUAACAUUAUCAAAUGGUCCAGUCUUUAGUGAAGGAUGUCCAGUGCAAGGAUCUCCUCUGAGGGGACAUUGUUCACUUCAAACAGGGUUGUCUUACAAACCAUUUGAACUCCAAAAAAACCCAACAAUUCUCAGCCAGGUACAAGAAUCCAGAUUGGGAGAGAGGAGGGAGAAUAUGUGCAUGGAGACAGUGCCGGAUAGGAAAGGCAUUUGGAGGAAAACAGCCUGCUCUUGGCUGGCAAAACCCUUCAAGCCUUAUUUUUAUGCUCAGCUCUUGGCAAGCUCUGCAGAAGGAAGGAGUGCGGGAUUUGGAUCGGAGCUGUGUUCCCUGUGGCUCGAUUCUUACUCAUUAGCUGGCUAUAAACAGAGUUAAACAAACCAGGCUGCUCUCACCGCUCAGGGGUUUUAUGAAGAGUCUGAAUUCGUAUAGAUGCCACAGAUCCAUCUGUGGAUCUCAAAGCACUUGACAAGUUGAGUUUAGCCUCCCAACACCCCAGUGAAGUAGGUAUGACAGUGGUCCCCUGAUUCUGCAGAGAGGGGAAACUAGAGAGACCCUGAGAAAUAGGAUGUCAUUAAAAACAAGCACAGGGAAUACUCAGGAGUCCCGAUACCUCUUUGAGUCUGUCGUCACCCCUAAGCAGGUUGCAUUCUAAAGAGCCCAUUUGAGAGGCCAAGUCCUCUCCUCCAGAUUUCAUCAGGCAAAGCAUUCACGGUGCUGACACAGGGAAGAGUGUUUAAUUUAGGAGUUGGCCCCCAUUGACAGUGUCCUUUCCAUGGGCAGGCAGAAAAGGCAGCACUGAUGAGGAAGCAGACCCAGAGCGAGCAAGCACCGCUUCUGUCUGCUUCUCCAUGUGUUUAAGGAUUUAAUGGGAUUAAGACAUGAGUUUCCUGAGCAGAUCCUGUCAGACAGACCCCCGGUGGGGCAGGGGAAAGGGGAAGGAAAUCCUGGCAAAGUGAGAAACUUUAGCAGAGGUGCCUGUGAGAAGGUGCUCUCACA
Molecule: long non-coding RNA, 2978 nt
Organism: Strigops habroptila (Kakapo)
Lineage: Eukaryota; Metazoa; Chordata; Aves; Psittaciformes; Psittacidae
Source: Ensembl